CGUUAGCGGCGGACGGGUGAGUAACACGUGGGUAACCUACCUAUAAGACUGGGAUAACUUCGGGAAACCGGAGCUAAUACCGGAUAAUAUUUCGAACCGCAUGGUUCGAUAGUGAAAGAUGGUUUUGCUAUCACUUAUAGAUGGACCUGCGCCGUAUUAGCUAGUUGGUAAGGUAACGGCUUACCAAGGCGACGAUACGUAGCCGACCUGAGAGGGUGAUCGGCCACACUGGAACUGAGACACGGUCCAGACUCCUACGGGAGGCAGCAGCC
RNAcentral lists this ribosomal RNA (272 nucleotides) under uncultured Staphylococcus sp. Its description in RNAcentral is "partial 16S ribosomal RNA". It matches the Rfam family "Bacterial small subunit ribosomal RNA", at positions 90 to 355 of the family's 1533-position model. The record is from RNAcentral. Lineage: Bacteria; Bacillati; Bacillota; Bacilli; Caryophanales; Staphylococcaceae.